CGAGACCUCAGGUCAGGCGGGGCUACCCGCUGAAUUUAAGCAUAUCAAUAAGCGGAGGAAAAGAACUAACAAGGAUUCCCUUAUAACGG
RNAcentral lists this ribosomal RNA (89 nucleotides) under Astragalus siliquosus. RNAcentral describes it as "partial 26S ribosomal RNA". It matches the Rfam family "Eukaryotic large subunit ribosomal RNA", at positions 1 to 89 of the family's 3401-position model. The record is from RNAcentral. Lineage: Eukaryota; Viridiplantae; Streptophyta; Magnoliopsida; Fabales; Fabaceae.